GGGUAUCAGGGGGUGACUGGUAGUAGCAGGGGGUGACUGGUAGUAGCAGGGGGUGACUGGUAGUAGCAGGGGGUAAUAGGGUAUCAGGGGGUGACUGGUAGUGGCUGGGGGUGACUGGGUAUCAGGGGGUGACUGGUAGUAGCAGGGGGUGACUGGUAGUAGCAGGGGGUGACUGGUAGUAGCAGGGGUAAUAGGGGGGUGACUGGUAGUAGCAGGGGGUAAUAGGGUAUCAGGGGGUGACUGGUAGUAGCAGGGGUAAUAGGGGUAUCAGGGGGUGACUGGUAGUAGCAGGGGGUGACUGGUAUCAGGGGGUGAGUGGUGGUAGCAGGGGGUAAUAGGGUAUCAGGGGGUGACUGGUAGCAGGGGGGGGUAAUAGGGUAUCAGGGGGUGACUGGUAGUAGCAGGGGGUAAUAGGGUAUCAGGGGUGAGUGGUAGUAGCAGGGGGUAAUAGGGUAUCAGGGGUGAGUGGUAGUAGCAGGGGGGUGGGGGGUAAUAGGGUAUCAGGGGGUAACUGGUAGUAGCAGGGGGUAAUAGGGUAUCAGGGGGUGAGUGGUAGUAGCAGGGGGGGGUAACUGGUAGUAGCAGGGGGUAAUAGGGUAUCAGGGGGUAACUGGUAGUAGCAUGGGGGUAAUAGG
Molecule: long non-coding RNA, 635 nt
Organism: Oncorhynchus tshawytscha (Chinook salmon)
Lineage: Eukaryota; Metazoa; Chordata; Actinopteri; Salmoniformes; Salmonidae
Source: Ensembl